CAAUUCCACAUUCAUCAUCACUUCCCUCCUCUCUCUCUUCCUCUCUCUCCCUCCCACUUCUUCCUCUCCUUCCUCUCCUCUUCCUUCGCUCUGUGGUCAACUCUCAGAAACCCAUCUUCUCUGCUCUCGCUUAUUGACUUGUGCCGACUUCUUCAGAAGAAGAGAAAGUUCAAGUGUUUGGAUCUUCUGCUAAAAGGUCUAGAUAGUGGAGAAAUUGUCGACUUUUAUCUGUGUAUAAAGAAGGGCAAAAGCUUGGAACCCUAGUCCUCAAGCUUUCAUUGGUGGAAUCCAUUUUGUUCUGAACAUUCAGGCAAUAUUUUAGGGGUAUUUUCAUUGGUGAGGAAUGAUGAUGAUGUUUGAAGAGAUGGGGUUUUGUGGUGAUUUGGAUACGUUAUCUGCUCCCCUGGGGGAAGGUGAUGCUGUCACCCGGCAGACUGAACCAGAGGUGGUGGUUGAUGAUGAUUACACUGAUGAAGACAUUGAUAUGGAUGAGCUGGAGAAGAGGAUGUGGAGAGACAAGUUGCGUCUGAAAAGGUUGAAGGAACAGAGUAAAUCUAAGGAAGGAAUAGAUGCAGUAAAACAAAGGCAGUCUCAAGAACAAGCGAGGAGGAAAAAGAUGUCAAGAGCCCAAGACGGAAUCUUGAAGUACAUGCUAAAGAUGAUGGAGGUUUGCAAGGCUCAAGGAUUUGUUUAUGGGAUAAUUCCAGAGAAGGGGAAACCUGUGACUGGUGCUUCUGACAAUCUUCGUGAAUGGUGGAAAGAUAAAGUCAGAUUUGAUAGAAAUGGCCCAGCUGCCAUAGCCAAAUAUCAAGCAGAUAAUUCGAUUCCAGGCAAGAAUGAUGGGUGCAGCUCUCUUGGUCCAACUCCACACACCCUGCAAGAGCUUCAGGACACAACGUUGGGUUCUCUCUUGUCAGCACUGAUGCAGCACUGUGAUCCACCUCAGAGACGAUUUCCAUUAGAGAAGGGAGUUCCUCCACCAUGGUGGCCCACAGGGAAUGAAGAUUGGUGGCCUCAAAUUGGUUUACCUAAAGAUCAAGGCCCUCCGCCAUACAAGAAACCACAUGACCUGAAGAAGGCAUGGAAGGUGGGUGUUUUAACUGCUGUUAUAAAGCACAUGUCUCCUGAUAUUGCCAAGAUUCGCAAGCUAGUGAGGCAGUCAAAAUGUCUUCAAGAUAAAAUGACAGCCAAGGAAAGCGCCACUUGGCUUGCGAUCAUUAACCAAGAGGAGGCUUUGGCACGAGAGCUGUACCCUGACUAUUGCCCUCCGUUGUCUUCAUCUGGAGGUAGUGGAUCUUUGGUUAUCAAUGACUGCAGUGAGUAUGAUGUUGAAGGGGCUGAGGAUGAGCCAAAUUUUGAUGUGGAUGACCAAAAACCUGAUAGCCUCAAUCCGUCCAAUCUUGGGAUGGAUAGAAUGAGAGGAAGGUUGCCAAUUCAGCAACCUUCUUUUCCAAUCAAGGGAGAGAUUGUCACCAACUUAGAUUUCAUUCGGAAGAGGAAGGCUCCUAAUGACUUUAACAUGAUAAAUCAGCAAAUCUACAUAUGUGAGCACCCUCAAUGCCCUUAUAGCGAAGUUCGCCUUGCAUUUUCUGACCGGACUUCAAGGGAUAAUCAUCAACUUAAUUGUCCAUACAGAGGCAGUUCUUCAGAUUUUGGUGGGCCAAAUUUUCAUGUUAAUGAAGUCAAGCCGGUUAUCUUCCCUCAAUCUUUCGCCCAACCCAAACCCACUGCUCAGUCUGUUAAUUUAGUUCCACCUUCGUUAAAUCUAUCAGGGCUCGGAGUUCCUGAAGAUGGCCAGAAAUUGAUAAGUGACCUUAUGUCGGUUUAUGAUACAAAUGUUCAAGGGAGCAAGAACAUGAAUUCCAGUAACUGUGUAACUGUAGAAAAUGAAAACCUUUCCCAACCCAGCAUUCAGCAGCAACAGAACAAUUUCUUCCCUAAUCAAGGAGUCGUGAUGGAUGGAAACUUCUUUGAAGACUCCAACAUGUCCAAUAAUCAGCAGAUGUUUGCCCGCGAGGAAGGUCAUUUUGACCCGUUCAAGGCUUUUAACUCUCCUUUUGAAAGCAACCAUCAGCACCACAACAGCAACAGCAGUAGCAACAACAACAAUUUCCAUUUAAUGUUUGGGUCCCCUUGUGAUUUGGCAUCUUUUGAUUUUAAGGAUGAGAUGCAAGCAGGCGUAGGAGGAAUGGAAUCUCUUCACAAACAGUCAGACAUGUCAUCAAUAUGGUAUCACCAUUGAAAUGACUUGUGGAAAUCACAUGUAUCAUGGGAGUCUCAUUUUUUCCCCUUCAAAUCAUGGGAAGUUCCCGUGUCUAAGAGAAAGACUUGCUGGUUUGCAAGUGAAGAUCAUGAAUACUGUUUAUGACACAUGAUUCAGUGAACCCUGCCAUAUAUUGUUAUCUGAUUGGUCUAUAGGUAGAACUGGUAGAUGAUAUAACAGGUUAAGCAAUCUGGAGAGAAUUUGGUGUGGGUAAAUUGGUUGGGAAGGGAUAUGGAUUGAAGAAAGUUUUGUCCUUGUUAUCACCCUUUUUCUGUUUUUCACUUGAGCUUAUCCUCUGGCAUGUGAGUAUGGGACCCCAGAAAUGGGACGUGCCAAGUUGAGAGCUGUUUGGUUGCGUGAUGGAAUUGGAGACCAGUGUUGGGGUGGUGGUGGGGUCCACGGAAGGGACUUGUCUUGUCUGUCUGUUUGUAUUGUAAUGUAUGUGAGUGUCAUUGGUCAAUGUCCUAGCAAACCUUCUUUUUAUUUUUCACAUGAUGUCUUCCAUUUCCUUUCCACUUUGGUGAAAUUAAGUGUGUCACAUUCAUGGGACCAGAGAAAAUGGCACAUCUCUUCCUUGGUCCUAGGCGGCUGCGCCUUCUUCCUUCCUUCCUUUGAGUGCUUAUUUUACCCCACCCCA
Molecule: RNA transcript, 2900 nt
Organism: Prosopis cineraria
Lineage: Eukaryota; Viridiplantae; Streptophyta; Magnoliopsida; Fabales; Fabaceae
Gene name: protein ETHYLENE INSENSITIVE 3-like
Exons: 3
Source: RefSeq, a predicted model, not a curated record